Molecule: ribosomal RNA, 492 nt
Filed under: uncultured bacterium
Lineage: Bacteria
Description: partial 16S ribosomal RNA
Rfam family: Bacterial small subunit ribosomal RNA
Source: RNAcentral
AGUGAACGCUGGCGGUAGGCCUAACACAUGCAAGUCGAACGGCAGCACAGUAAGAGCUUGCUCUUACGGGUGGCGAGUGGCGGACGGGUGAGGAAUACAUCGGAAUCUACUUUUUCGUGGGGGAUAACGUAGGGAAACUUACGCUAAUACCGCAUACGACGUACGGGUGAAAGCAGGGGAUCUUCGGACCUUGCGCGAGUGAAUGAGCCGAUGUCGGAUUAGCUAGUUGGCGGGGUAAAGGCCCACCAAGGCGACGAUCCGUAGCUGGUCUGAGAGGAUGAUCAGCCACACUGGAACUGAGACACGGUCCAGACUCCUACGGGAGGCAGCAGUGGGGAAUAUUGGACAAUGGGCGCAAGCCUGAUCCAGCCAUACCGCGUGGGUGAAGAAGGCCUUCGGGUUGUAAAGCCCUUUUGUUGGGAAAGAAAAGCAGCAGGUUAAUACCCCGCUGUUCUGACGGUACCCAAAGAAUAAGCACCGGCUAACUUCGUG